GGAGGUUGGCCAUGGGCGAUGCCCUCGCUAACCCGGUCAGGUCCGGAAGGAAGCAGCCGUAACGAGUUUCGUAUCGGGUCGUGCCGCCAGCCUCCCAC
Elstera litoralis is the source of this 98-nucleotide non-coding RNA. It matches the Rfam family "Bacterial small signal recognition particle RNA". From Rfam's summary of the family: The signal recognition particle (SRP) is a universally conserved ribonucleoprotein involved in the co-translational targeting of proteins to membranes. Archaeal SRP consists of a 7S RNA and homologues of the eukaryotic SRP19 and SRP54 proteins. NCBI's taxonomy places the organism in Bacteria, Pseudomonadati, Pseudomonadota, Alphaproteobacteria, Rhodospirillales, Rhodospirillaceae. The record is from Rfam.